UUCUCGGUGCCCAAGGUUAAUAGGUCCCACGUCAAUCCAUCUCGAACUUGACAGUGAAACUAUUAAUGAGAGUGCAAAGCUGCAAGGGGGGCCUUGUGGAUUUUCUCUCUUGGUGCCGGGAA
This 122-nucleotide ribosomal RNA is filed under the name Aphanochaete elegans. Lineage: Eukaryota; Viridiplantae; Chlorophyta; Chlorophyceae; Chaetophorales; Aphanochaetaceae. The record is from RNAcentral.